UGGGGAAUAUUGGACAAUGGGCGCAAGCCUGAUCCAGCAAUGCCGCGUGAGUGAUGAAGGCCUUAGGGUUGUAAAGCUCUUUCGCACGCGACGAUGAUGACGGUAGCGUGAGAAGAAGCCCCGGCUAACUUCGUGCCAGCAGCCGCGGUAAUACGAAGGGGGCUAGCGUUGUUCGGAAUUACUGGGCGUAAAGGGCGCGUAGGCGGCCUGUUUAGUCAGAAGUGAAAGCCCCGGGCUCAACCUGGGAAUAGCUUUUGAUACUGGCAGGCUUGAGUUCCGGAGAGGAUGGUGGAAUUCCCAGUGUAGAGGUGAAAUUCGUAGAUAUUGGGAAGAACACCGGUGGCGAAGGCGGGCCAUCUGGACGGACACUGACGCUGAGGCGCGAAAGCGUGGGGGAGCAAACAGGAUUAGAUACCCUGGUAGUCCACGCCGUAAACGAUGAAUGCUAGACGUCGGGGUGCAUNCACUUCGGUGUCGCCGCUAACGCAUUAAGCAUUCCGCCUGGGGAGUACGGCCGCAAGGUUAAAACUUAAAGGAAUUGACGGGGUC
Molecule: ribosomal RNA, 549 nt
Filed under: uncultured bacterium
Lineage: Bacteria
Description: partial 16S ribosomal RNA
Rfam family: Bacterial small subunit ribosomal RNA
Source: RNAcentral